This 870-nucleotide ribosomal RNA is filed under the name Agaricus candidolutescens. Its description in RNAcentral is "eukaryotic LSU rRNA". It matches the Rfam family "Eukaryotic large subunit ribosomal RNA", at positions 64 to 921 of the family's 3401-position model. Lineage: Eukaryota; Fungi; Basidiomycota; Agaricomycetes; Agaricales; Agaricaceae. The record is from RNAcentral.
ACUAACAAGGAUUCCCCUAGUAACUGCGAGUGAAGCGGGAAAAGCUCAAAUUUAAAAUCUGGCAGUCUCUGGCUGUCCGAGUUGUAAUCUAGAGAAGUAAUGCCCGUGCUGGACCGUGUAUAAGUCUCCUGGGAUGGAGCGUCAUAGAGGGUGAGAAUCCCGUCUUUGACACGGACUACCAGUGCAUUGUGGUAUGCUCUCAAAGAGUCGAGUUGUUUGGGAAUGCAGCUCAAAAUGGGUGGUAAAUUCCAUCUAAAGCUAAAUAUUGGCGAGAGACCGAUAGCGAACAAGUACCGUGAGGGAAAGAUGAAAAGAACUUUGGAAAGAGAGUUAAACAGUACGUGAAAUUGCUGAAAGGGAAACGCUUGAAGUCAGUCGCGUUGGCCAGGAAUCAGCCUUGGUUUUCCUUGGUGUAUUUUCUGGUCAAUGGGUCAGCAUCAAUUUUGACCGCUGGAAAAAGUCUUGGGGAAUGUGGCAGCUUUGGCUGUGUUAUAGACCCAGGUCGCAUACAGUGGUUGGGAUUGAGGAACUCAGCACGCCGCAAGGCCGGGUUUCGACCACGUUCGUGCUUAGGAUGCUGGCAUAAUGGCUUUAAGCGACCCGUCUUGAAACACGGACCAAGGAGUCUAACAUGCCUGCGAGUAUUUGGGUGGAAAACCCAAGUGCGUAAUGAAAGUGAAAGUUGAGAUCCCUGUCAUGGGGAGCAUCGACGCCCGGACCAGAACUUUUGGGACGGAUCCGCGGUGGAGCAUGUAUGUUGGGACCCGAAAGAUGGUGAACUAUGCCUGAAUAGGGUGAAGCCAGAGGAAACUCUGGUGGAGGCUCGUAGCGAUUCUGACGUGCAAAUCGAUCGUCAAAUUUGGGUAUAGG